Molecule: ribosomal RNA, 261 nt
Filed under: uncultured bacterium
Lineage: Bacteria
Description: partial 16S ribosomal RNA
Rfam family: Bacterial small subunit ribosomal RNA
Source: RNAcentral
GUCCACGCUGUAAACGAUGAGUGCUUGAUAUCGGAACUUGUUUUCGGUGUCGGAGCUAACGCGUUAAGCACUCCGCCUGGGGAGUAAGGUCGCAAGAUUAAAACUCAAAGGAAUUGACGGGGGCCCGCACAAGCGGUUGAGCAUGCGGUUUAAUUCGAUGUUACACGAAAACCUUACCAACUUUUGACAUAGUGGUCGCGAAGAACAGAGAUGUUUUCUUCAGUUAGGCUGGACCACAUACAGGUGUUGCAUGGCUGUCGU